Molecule: ribosomal RNA, 484 nt
Filed under: uncultured bacterium
Lineage: Bacteria
Description: partial 16S ribosomal RNA
Rfam family: Bacterial small subunit ribosomal RNA
Source: RNAcentral
AUUGAACGCUGGCGGCAGGCCUAACACAUGCAAGUCGAGCGGAUGAAGGGAGCUUGCUCCUGGAUUCAGCGGCGGACGGGUGAGUAAUGCAUAGGAAUCUGCCUGGCAGUGGGGGAUGAGGUCAGGUAACGGGAGCUAAUACCGCAUACGUCCUGAGGGAGAAACUGGGGGAUCUUUGGACCUCACGCUAUCUGCUGUGCCUAGGACGGAGUAGCUAGUUGGUGGGGUAAAGGCGUACCAAGGCGACGAUCCGUAACUGGCCUGAGUGGAUGAUCAGUCACACUGGAACUGAGACACGGUCCAGACUCCUACGGGAGGCAGCAGUAGGGAAUAUUGGACAAUAGGCGAAAGCCUGAUGCAGCAACGCCGCGUGUGUGAAGAAGGUCUUCGGAUUGUAAAGCACUUUUAUUAGGGAGGAACAACAGUAUAUUAAUACCUUGCUGUUUUGACGGUACCUACAGAAUAAGCACCGGCUAACUACGUG